UACGGAGGGCGCAAGCGUUGUUCGGAAUUACUGGGCGUAAAGCGCGUGUAGGCGGCCAGGUAAGUCGGAUGUGAAAGCCCGGGGCCUAACCCCGGAACUGCACCCGAUACUGCCUGGCUGGAGUCCCGGAGAGGAUGGCGGAAUUUCCGGUGUAGAGGUGAAAUGCGUAGAGAUCGGCAGGAACACCCAAGGGGAAGCCAGCCGACUGGCCCGGUCCUGACACUCAGGGACGACAGCGUGGGGAGCGAACCGG
This 253-nucleotide ribosomal RNA is filed under the name uncultured bacterium. RNAcentral's name for it is "partial 16S ribosomal RNA". It matches the Rfam family "Bacterial small subunit ribosomal RNA", at positions 524 to 776 of the family's 1533-position model. The record is from RNAcentral.